GGAGCCAACAUAACCAUAUCAUAUCUCCAGUCUAGCAAUUUGCCUUAUGCCUCAGUGUAGUGUACUCAUCAUUAGAAAACUAGCAGAAAAGUCCUAAGGCAGUAAGAAGCAGGGAUUAUGAAAAGUACCUUGUCUGUCAUCCCUCUAUUUUUAAUGUUUAAUUUUUAAUGUUCCAGGUCAUCUGACAUAACAAAAGAUACAAUCUAUUUUUAGAUGGCCUAUAAAAGAGUGAUAAGUCUAGUUUAUGGACUCUGAAAUUCUUAGGACUAUAUUACGAGAACCUUGUAUAUUUAGCUUAUAUGGAUACAUAUCACAUAAAUAAACAUUUACUUAAAAUUGUGUAGGCAGUCACACACUUUCUAUAGAGGGUGUCAGAUUUGUUUUGAACCCUGAACUUAACAUUUAUCUGUUACCCAAGAUCACAGAACUAGUCAGUAGCAGAGUCAAGAUUAGAAUCAUGAAAUCAGCAAAUGAUCUUUCCAUAACAACUCAGUCUUCUAGAGGAAAUAACCACCUUUGACUCACUAGAGCUGCAGUCAACUCGGAAAAGAUAGUAAUAUAUUACACAUGCACAUAUUUUUAUUGCUAGACCGUAUAAUCUUAUCUUCAACUGAGGUUUCAAUAUUUUCUCUGUAAAUACACACCACUUCCUUUGUGCACCACUAUAGCUAAAUUAUUAAUAAACAUAGUAGAAGGAAAAGUCUUUGGUAGACCUGUAGAUCUAAUAUUAGGUCAACAACAGAAUAUCACUCCUUUCCUGCUAUAAAAAACUGCUAUACUUUUGCAUUAUUAUAGCCCCUUUUAAACCACUAAUCAAAUCCCUGAGGGAAAGGGAACUAACAUUUAUUGUGAUGCUAAAAACAUUUAUAUGCUAGGAACUAUGGAAGAGUCUUAACAUAAACACAGACAUUCAACAAAUACAAAUUAAUUUAAAUAUAUACAUUAUGCAUACAUUUAUUUCAGUUUCAUAAGACACACAAAAAAAGCCCACAGAAAAGUGUCUCAAGGAAAAAACUUGCCACCUUUUCAUCAUUUUUAUUGGUGCUGGUCUGAACUUUGGUUUAACAGAAUCACUGAACUGUAACAUGUUGCCUCCAAAGCCAAACCUCUGGGUUUGGGUGUUUUGUGUAUAUAUGUUGAUUAUAAUUAAUAUGUGAUUGUUGUCAGAAUAUGACAUAUGACUAGCAAACUUUUUGCUCCCCUCUUCAUCACCCAAGUCCUCAGGGAGUUUUCCCUGAAGCCCAGGGCAUUUGUGUGUCAUGGCACAAAGUUAAGCUUAAUUAGUUAAAAAAAAAAAAAGCUCUUGAGUCAUUUUAAAAAAGCAAAUUAAAACCGAGGUAAUAACAUCACUUCUGCUAUUUCUUAUUAGCUCACUUCUUGUUCAAUUUAUCUAAAUAUUGGUUUCUAAAAAUAAGAUUUUAUUAUUUUUCUGAGCCUGCUUGAGACUUUUCUUGGUGUUGAAGCAAAUGCCAUCUGACAAACAGCAAGUGGGCUAUUUAGAUUACAAUUGAAGAGUCCGAAGUCAUCUACAGUUCUGAAAAUCUAUGAUUUUAUUUCAAGUAGUGUUGUAGAUGCUAAAACAAUACACAUGCAGUUGGCAGGUCCAACUCUCUACCUCUAUGGGGAACAUGUUAACAUAAAAGUUUUAUUAAGCGUCAGCUCUUUCUGGGAGAGUAAAACAGAAUAUACUGAUUCAAAUGUAUAGUCAGUCAACCAAUGAUAAUUUAGAAUACAAGGUUCAUCUAAGAUCUAUUUUUAGCUGGUUUUGAAUAUCAACCCAAUGGAGCUAAUAUGGAAGGCUUAGAAAUCAAAUGUAGUAUUUUCAUUUUUUAUUCUUAAAUAAAUGUAGAUAAAAUAUUUCUAACUCACCUCAGUUUCUCAUUAAUCUUUAUGUCUCCUAUAUCAAGGAAUAAAGUCAAUGAGUCACAGACAGAGAAGUAACUUAGAGUCUAUGUUAUAUUUAAAGGUAGAUAGUAAUGAAAUUUAACUUCUCUUUAUGAUUAUAGUAAAAUGAAGAUUAUGUCUAUUAUUAUUUAAAGGAUAAAAGAGAAAACAAUGCUUUUGAGACCUAAAAAUUUUUUUUAAAUUUUUUAUUAUUUGUGUGUGUGUGUGUUUUUGCCAUUUCUUGGGCCAUUUCCACAGCAUAUGGAGGUUCCCAGGCUAGGGGUUGAAUCAGAGCUGCAGCCGCCAGCCUAUGCCACAGCCACAGCAACACAGGAUCCGAGCCACGUCUGAGACCUACACCACUGAGUAAGGCCAGGGAUGGAACCCGAAACCUCAUGGUUCCUAGUCGGAUUCAUUAACCACUGAGCCACGACGGGAACUCCAUAAAAAUUUAUUUUCAUUAUUAUUAUUUGUUUCUUUUUUUUGGCUGCACUAGAGCAUAUGGAGUUCCCAGGCCAGGGAUCAGAUCCAAGCCACAGCUGUGGCAAUGUGCAGGCCAGGGAUCAAACCUAUAUCGCAGUGCUUCAGAGAUGCCACAGAUCCCAUUAUGCCACAGUGGGAACUCCUAUAUUAUUAAAUAUAUUAACAAUGUGAACAAAGCUUUAUUAUUUCAAUUCAUCAAUUAAGACAUGUUUAGCCAUGAGAUUCUAAUAAAAAUACAAGCCUUUUAUUCAGAGAUCAUACUACUAUGAUAGUAUCUAUAUCAUACUACUAUGACAUGACAGCAUUUUCAGUGUAUACUUAACAACAAAAAUGAAUUAAUGCUUUUUAUCAAAUAUCAGUUCUGUAGUGGAUGAUUAUAAUCAUUCAGUAUUUUCUUCUGCACUCUAACUUAUAUUAUCUGAGGCAAUAAACCAUUUGGCUCAGAAUCAGUAAUGAGAUGAAAUCAAACUAUUCUAGAAGGCUUGUAAGAUGUUGAGUUGUUUUCUGCUCUGUACUUAAAAUGCAAUAUCCCAGAACUGAAGCACCAAAGAUUAUAUUACUAAGAGUCAUUUAUCUAUAGUUUCAAUAACAAAGCUAGUAUAAAAUAUAAAACAAUUCAUAAUACUCUUCAGCAAAGAAGAUAACACUAAAAUAACCCUUGGGCUCCAAUUUAAGCUCACACAACAAAAAGAAACCUUGAAUUGCAAUUGCCUUUUUUUUUUUCCCCUGCACCUGUGGCAUGUGGAAGUUCCCUCGCUAGGGACUGAACCUACUACCAUCACCAUAGCUGCAGCAGUGCCAGAUCCUUAGUGCACUGUAGCACAUGGGAACUUCCUAGAAUUGUCUUUGUAGCCUCAAUUUACUCCCUAAAGAGUUAACAUGGAGGAUUAAGAUUUAAUUCUCUCUCCACAGGGAAAAAGAAGACUAUCACAAACUCAAAAAGCUGUAGACCAAAGGUCCUUCUCCUUUUUGAGAAGAAACAAUUUUUAAUGCCCCAAAGCUCAGAGAUGUUUGCUAGUGACCGACUGGAGAGGAACCAUGCCAGAUUUGCUCCAUUCUCUCAGAAUCCUAUGGGGUAUGAACAAAGUAGCCUGGUUUUGAGGUGUAAUAUUAAACUCUGAUUUAUAAUUUUUUGUGUAUGAGACAAUGAAUCUCCUGUAGGAGUGACUGUAUAAUUUUUGUGUCUUUGCAAAAAAUCCUGAAACAAAGAGCACUCUUUUGCACUGAGGAUGACCUUAAUGGGUUUGGCAUCCCAAAGAUGGGCCAAGAAUAAGUUAGGGUUUAGAAGUGAAUUUCAUUAAAUCAAAACUGCCGCAGUAUAUAUAAUGCAGAGGAAAGUGUGAUAUUCUCAAAUCAGGGGCAGUGUAAGACAGAGGUCUGAGAAGAAAAAAAGAUUUUAGUGAGGAUUAUCUCUUGUGGUUUUAUUGGGUGGAGUAGAGUUAAAAUUAAAAAAAAGGUGUGCUGUUCUCUGUGAGGUUCUGUGGAAGGUACAAGAUGAAUGCCUGCCCUGUCUCACUGUUACUCCCCACAUUCUGCAAAGCAACUGAAUAACAAAAGUACUGUGAGAGUGGAAUUUGCAGGGGGAAGGAGGUUGAAAUUGAGCAGAGGUUGCAUUUUAUGUUUAGUUGAUGCUGCUAGGGAUAAAGUGCUUGAGAAAUGGCAUGAGUAAGAUCUUCCAAGUAUGCAGAACCAAGAGAUCAGUGCCAGAGAGGAGCAGACAAAUAAAACUUCACAGACAUCACAGUGACCUUGGGGAAGGCCUUGAGACUUGAGCAGAGUAUCUGGAUUACAAUGGACAUGGAAACCUCAGUUGAAACUGAGUUACAAAGAUUGAUCAGAGUGCCUGGCCCAGACCUUGGAUGUUAGUCAGAGUAGGCUAGCUGGUGUAACAAAGGGCCCCCAAAUCUCAGUGAUUUAUAAAUAAAAUGACCAAUAAAAGUUUAUUUUUGCUUGUAUAAUAGUCCAAUAUGAAUCUAUAGCUUUAAUAGCAAAGCUAGUUUUAAAUAUAAAGCCAUUCAUCAAGUUUCUUUUUUCUUUUUUCUUUUUUUUUGGCCUUUUUGCGUUUUCUAGGGCUGCACCUGCGGCAUAUGGAGGUUCCCAGGCUAGGGGUCGAAUCAGAGCUGUAGCCGCUGACUUAUACCACAACCACAGUAACACCAGAUCCAAGCUGAGUCUGCGACCUACACCACAACUCAUGGCAACGCUGGAUCCUUAACCCACUGAGCAAGGCCAGGGAUCGAACCCGAAACCUCGUGGUUCCUAGUCGGAUUCAUUAACCACUAAGCCACAAGGGGAACUCCUCAUCAAGUUUCUUGAUAAUGAAGUCCCACUGAAAUAACUCUUAGGCUCCAACUUCAACUUAUAUCACAAAGUGAAACCUUGAAUUAGAAUUAGGGGAGGUGCUCUGCCCCAUGCAGGGUGUCAGACUCCUCUAGCAGAUCCUCAGAUAACAAUAAAUGAGAGUGAAACGCCUGCUUUUAACUGCCAUGGCCUGAAAGGGCCACCCAUCACUCUGCUUACAAUCCACUGAAUAGAGCUUUUCAGAGUCUCUUUGCAGAUGUAAUGGGCCGGGCCCUGCAGACCAGCCAUGCGAAUUAAUGAGGCUGGAAGCAUGGGUAACAGGGAAUAGCUGGCUAGUCUCCACAGUUCUCAGUAAAUAUUUGCUAGUUUAAAUUAACUACUUCUUUCCAUCACCUGUUUAUGAACCAUUCUAGGCCUUAUACUAGAACCUUGCUAAGACUGGCUAUGGCGAAACAGCUCCCUGUUUACGAUUCCUAGACAACAACGGUUUAUAACAAGAAACACCUAAGGGGCACAAUUCCUUAACCCAAAGCAAUGUGUUGAGGAUGGUGAAAAGGCGGUAGUCCUGACCUAUAUCCUCUAAAGUUGCAUUUAUAAAUACUUGACUGUUGUGACUAGUGAUGUGUUUUUACCUCUCUGGGAGCAACAUCUGCCAUGUAACACGUUUUAUCUACAAACACUUCUUCUCUGUAAGAUUCCUCUAAGUGCUUUACUAAUGCCAACUCAUUGAAUCCUUACAAUCCUAUGCGGCACACAAUAUUUAGCUCCAUUUUACAAUUGAGAAAACUAAGGCACAGAGAGGACAGAAAACUGUGAGUAAUAGCUCAUAUGUGAUAGUUCAGAGAUUCAAAACCAGGCAGUUGGAAUGAAAAGACUGAACUCAAACUCCCACCCCAUGCUACUUCCCCUCUUGUCAGCCUCUUCCUCCCCUUUCCACACUUGAGUUUGCACCCAGAACAUUAUGUGCACAAUAGGGGUUUGUCUAAAAUUUCCACAGGGGCAUUGUUCUUUCACAUUGCUUCUGGUUGAUAGUCACAGAUGGAAAUAAAGCCUGAUAAGCAUAUAUUUUGGGAUCAACAAUCAAAUUCCAGAAACCCUUAAUCCAUCCUAGAUUAGAUUAAAGCAAUAAAGAGAAUUCCAAGCUCUAAUAGCAGACUGUUAGAAAAGAAAGAGGGAGGUGUCUUUUACCCUUACCUACAAAUCAUAUACUAUUCAUUCAUUCGACCAACCUUUAUUAAGUUCCCUCGAAAGUCAUGAGGUACAAUGGUGUGCAAGAUAGACAUGGUUCUUGCGCUCAUGAAACUUUUGGCCAAUAAAGGAGAUAUACUUGAAUCAAAUAUGUUUACAAACAGAUAAUUAAUUACAAUUGUAUAAGCUCUAUGAAAAAGUAUGAGUAUACAUGAGUGGGAAAUGUUAGCAAGUCUGAAGAUUCAGGCAAGGCUUGCUUCCCCCAAAAUGUAACAUUUGAGUCAUAGCUAAAUAAGUCAAAGGAGGCAUAAGGAGGGGAAGAAUAUUUCAAGCAAAAGCAACAUCCUGAGUAAAGGCUCUUCAGGGGGAAGGAGGUGGGGCUUUGGAGGGAACUGAAGAAAGUCGAAUGUGGGAGAGGGAGGCAUGAGAAAGAUAGAAAAGCAGGCAGAGGAUCCUGAAGAGGCUCACUAGAGAAUUUUGGUGUUAUUCCAAGAGUAAUGAAAAUCCAGUGAAGGAUUUUAGGCAGGGAAAGUCACAUGAUCAGAUUUUCAUUUUAAUUAAUUAAUUAAUUAAUUAGGGCCGUGUCCACAGCAUAUGGAAGUUCUCAGGCUAGUGUUUCAAUCACAGCUGCAGCUGCUAGCUUAUACCACAGCCACGGCAAUGCCAGAUCCAAGCCACAUCUGUGACCUACACCACAGCUUACAGCUCACUGCAAUGCUGUAUCCUUAACCUACUGAACAAGGCCAGGGACCAAACCUGCAUCCUCAUGGAUACUAGUUGGGUUUGCUGCCACUGAGCCACAAUGGGAACUCCAGAUUUUCAUUUAGACAGAUUGUUUUGGCAGACAGAUUUGAGAGGUUUGUAGUGGAAGUAGGUGGAUCAUUUUGGAGGCUACUGCAAUUGUCUAUAGAGAUUUGCACCUAUACAACUGACUGCAUCUUUGUAUGAGGUAGUCCUUGCCAAUGGCUUGAAACUCAAGAAUGCUGUUGGAAGGAAUGUAAAUUGAUACAACCACUAUGGAAAACAGUAUGGAGGUUCCUCAGAAAACUAAAUAUAGAACUACCAAAUGAUCCAGCAAUCCCACUCCUGAACAAAUAUCCAGACAAAAUUGAACUCAGAAGGAUACAGGCACGUAUGUGUUCAUAACAGCACCAUUCACAAAACCCAAGACAUGGAAGCAACCUGAAUGUCCACUGUAAGGUGAAUGAAUUAAGAAGGUGUGGUACAUAUAUACAAUGGAAUACUACUCAUCCAUAAAAAGAACAAAAUAAUGUCAUUUGCAGCAACAUAGAUGCAACUAGAGAUUAUCAUACUAAGUGAAGUAAGUCAGAAAGAGACACCAUAUGAUAUCACUUAUAUGUGAGAUCUAAAAUAUGGCACAAAAAGAACUGAUCUACAAAACAGAAGCAGACUCACAGACAUAGAGAACAGACUUGUGGUUGCCAAGAAGGAGGGGGAAGGGGAGAGGAAGUGGGAUGGACGGAGAGUUUGGGGUUAGUAGAUGCAAACUAUUACAUUUAGAGUGGAUAAGCAAUGAGGUCCUAUUUUAUAGUGCAGGGAACUCUAUCUAGUCUUUUGGGAUAGACCACCAUGAAAGAUAAUAUAAGAAAAGGAACUUAUAUAUAAGUAUGACUGGGUCCCUUUGCUGUACAGCAGAAAUUGGCACAACACUGUAAAUCAACUACACUUUAAUCAAAAAAAAAAAA
RNAcentral lists this long non-coding RNA (7562 nucleotides) under Sus scrofa (pig). RNAcentral's name for it is "lncRNA (ENSSSCG00030023880.1)". The record is from RNAcentral. Lineage: Eukaryota; Metazoa; Chordata; Mammalia; Artiodactyla; Suidae.